Molecule: ribosomal RNA, 1281 nt
Filed under: Cercyon borealis
Lineage: Eukaryota; Metazoa; Arthropoda; Insecta; Coleoptera; Hydrophilidae
Description: 16S ribosomal RNA
Rfam family: Archaeal large subunit ribosomal RNA (bases 586-1281)
Source: RNAcentral
AUUUAAUAAUUUAUUAUUUAUUUGUAUUUAAAAUAUUAAAUAGUUUUAUUAUAUUUAAAAGAAAAAAUAUUUAUAAUUAUAGUUUAUUAGUAUAGUGAUAGAAAAUAUUUAAAUAUUAAAAAGAAUAUUUUAUUUUUAGUACCUUGGGUAUCAGGGUUGAUUAAUAAAUAAUAAUAGAUUUUAUAUUCUCGAAAAAAUUAAGAGCUAAUUUUAUAUAAAUAUUAAUGUAGAAUUAUUGUUUAAAAUAUAUUAUUAGUAAUGAAACGUUAUUCGUUUUUUUUGAUAUCUAGUUACUUAAGAAAUAUAUUUAAUAUAGUUUUUAAUUUAAAAUAUAAUAAUUUUAAAUGUUAUUUUAAAUUAAAAUGUAAUAUUUUAAGGGUUGAGCUUUAAAUUAAAUUAUUAUAAGUAAAUUUAUUAUUUAAAAUUAAAUAGAAUUAGAAUUUUUUAUUUUUAUUAAUAUGUUAUAAUUAAGUUUUAUUUUAAUUUUAUUUAUAUUUAUUUUAAUUUGUAUAUUAAGUAGUAUAAUUUAAUUUUUUAAUUAUAGUUAUUAUGAUUAAAUUAGUAUUAUUUUAUGUAUAUAGUAUUUAUUAAAGUUAGGUUUAGAUAAGGAAUUCGGCAAAUAUUUUUUUCACCUGUUUAUUAAAAACAUGUCCUUUUGAAUAUGAUUUAAGGUCUAGCCUGCUCAAUGAUUUAUUAAAUAGCUGCAGUAUUUUGACUGUACAAAGGUAGCAUAAUCAUUAGUUUUUUAAUUGAAAGCUUGUAUGAAUGGCUGAAUGAGAAAAAGACUGUCUAUCUAGAAUUAUAAAAGAAUUUUAUUUUUAAGUUAAAAAGCUUAAAUGUUAUUAAAAGACGAGAAGACCCUAUAGAGUUUAAUUAAAAUUAUAUUUUUAUUAUUAAAGAAUUUUAUAUUUGGGAGUAUAAUUUUUAAUUUGAUUGGGGUGAUCUUAAAAUUUAAAAAACUUUUAGAAAUUUUUAACAUUGAUGAAUGAGUUUAUGAUCCAUUAUUAGUGAUUAGUAGAUUAAAUUACCUUAGGGAUAACAGCGUAAUUUUUUUGGAGAGUUCUUAUUGAUAAAAAAGAUUGCGACCUCGAUGUUGGAUUAAAAUUAACUAUUGGCGCAGAAGUUGAUGGGUUGGGUCUGUUCGACCUUUAAAAUUUUACAUGAUCUGAGUUUAAACCGGUGUGAGCCAGGUUGGUUUCUAUCUUUAAUUGGUUAGUAUAUUUUAGUACGAGAGGACCGAAUAUAUAUAAAAUUUAUUUUUAAUUAGAUUAAUAUUAAAAU